RNAcentral lists this long non-coding RNA (44447 nucleotides) under Selaginella moellendorffii. Lineage: Eukaryota; Viridiplantae; Streptophyta; Lycopodiopsida; Selaginellales; Selaginellaceae. The record is from RNAcentral.
AAAAUACCCCCUUCUUUUUGCGGUUCCUUUAUUAUUUAAUUUGGUAUAAGAAAAAAGAGAGGAAAUUUUCUCUCUGUGUUGCGUUGUGUGUGUUUUUUUUUUCGGUAUAGGGAGGGGUUGUUGAUGUCGCUGGCUGCGGUGGUGGUGUGUGCCCUGUGGGUUUUGUCUUCCAAGUCACUCCACCAGAGAAGAACACACAGUUAGGUAUAGGUGGUAGUAGUAUAGUUCUAGUUGUAGAGUUGGUUCCAAGGGAAUUGGGUGCUAAUCGCGACUGCUCACUCUCUCAAGCAAAGAAAGCUUGGACAGUUCUCUACAAUCUAAAAGCCCAGGAACAAGGAAGAAGCAAAGAGUUAGAACAAGAAAAAGAGGGGGGGAGAGAAAGAGGGGGAGAGAGGCGAUGGCGAUGGCGAUGAUCUCGGACUCCUCUCCCCAGCUCGGGCCCCCGGCGACGCUCGAUCUCGGGCUGGCCACACCGGCAUUGAUGGGAGAAUGCUCCGCCGCCGCGGGGGCGGAGCAAGGGGUCCAAUUGAGGAGGAAGGGAACGCUGGAGCAGCAGCUGUGAGUUCUAGUUCUUCUUCUUUCUUCUUCUUCUUCUUCUUCCUCCGGGAGUGAUUCCAAUUUCCUGCUGGGCCGAGCUCCUCGAUACGAUCCAGCAACGAAAAAAAAAAGCCCAGGAGGAGGAGAAAAAAAAGCGCACAUACGAGAAAAGAAAGGAAAAAAAAAAUACACAGGAGAAAAGCCGCGGACGAGGAGCGUAACAUGGCAGCCACAACGACGACAGGGGGGGGCACGGUGGCGGCGGGGGCGGGGUCGGCGGCGGGGGCAGCAGGGGGGAGUGGAUCGAUUGGGGGCGGAGGGGGUAGCGGCGCUGGCGGGGCUGGCGGCGGCGCUGGCGGAGACGAGGAUCUCACCGUCAAGACAAUGCGUAAGCGCUACGAGGGACUGCUGCUAGUGAGGAGCAAGGCCGUCAAGGGCAAGGGCGCGUGGUACUGGUCACACCUGGAGCCGAUCCUCGUCCACAAUCCCGACACUGGCACGCCCAAGGCCGUGAAGCUGCGAUGCGGCCUCUGCAACGCCAUGUUCUCCGCCUCCAACCCCUCGCGCACCGCCAGCGAGCACCUCAAGCGCGGCACUUGCCCUAAUUUCAGCGGCGCCUACCGCCCCCUCGGAUCGUCCCCGCCUCCGCCAGCGGCGGGCGUGGCGGCCGCCGCUGCCGCGAUCGCCACCGCCACCACCCCGAAAUCCUCCUCCGGCCGCAAGCGCGCCGCGGCAUUGUCCUCGCAGAAUCAACAGCAGCAGCAGCAGCAGCAAAGCCUCGCGAUCGUGCCAGCGGCGCCACCGGCUCCGGGAUCGUCGGUUCCAGCGGGAUCGGGCGCGGCGGCGGCACCGGCGGCGCUGGAUGAGAGGCUGCCGCUCCACCUCUCGGGCGGCAAGGAGGAUCUGGGCGCGCUGGCGCUGCUCGAGGACAACGUGAAGCGGAUCAAGAGCCCCGGACUGAAGCCUGGUUCUAGCGGCGGUGGCCUCACCAAGGAGCAAGGGGAGGCCGCCAUCGCGCUCCUCGCGGACUGGCUCUACGAGUCCCACGCCACCGUGCCCCUGGCGGUGGUAGAGCAUCCCAAAUUCCGGGCCUUCCUCGCGCAGAUCGGGCUCCAGGGCGCUGCCAGCCGGCGGCUCCUGGCGGGGCCGCGGCUGGACGCGCGAUUCGAGGAGGUGAAGAGGCAAUCCGAGGCUCGGCUGGGCGACGCGCUCUUCUUCCAGAUCUCCACCGAUGGCUGGAAGCGCCGCUCGAUCUUUCCAAUCUCUCCUUCCUUGGCGCUGUCCUCCCCGGCGGCGAUGGCAAUGGCCGCGAUGGCGAUGGAUCCUUCUUCCUCCCCUUCCAGCGUCAGCGAUCUCGUCUACAUCACGAUCAAUCUCCCCAAUGGCAGCAGCCUCUUCUGGCGCGCGCUGCCGAUCGGCGGUAGCGGCGGGGCGAAGGCAGUGGAGGCGAUCCUCGAGGAGGCGGUGGCGGCGCUGUGCGGCGGAUCGCCGGAGCGCUGCGUGGGGAUCGUGGCGGACGCGGGCAAGGCGGUGAACAAGGCGCUGCGCGAGGUGGAGUCCCGGCGGUCCUGGAUCGUGAGCGUCCCCUGCCAGGCACAGGCCUUCGCCAGCCUCCUCCGCGACUUCGCCAAGCGAUCCCCGCUCUUUCGAUCCGUCGCAACCGACUGCCUCAAGCUCGUCGCCUUCUUCUCGGGCAAUCACCCCGCACGGACGCUCCUCCAGCGCUUCCAGCGCGACGCCUACGCGAGGAUCCGCGCCCUGGCGGAGCUCGCCGAGGCGGCGGCGACCGCAGCAGCAUCAGCGAGCUCCUCCUCCGCCAGCGCGGCCGAUCGCGACGCGGUGGAUCCCGCGCUAGCGCUGCUCCUCCCGGACGGGAUCGCCGCCAGCGCGCGCGCGCUCCACGCCAUCGUCGCGGACGCGUCCUUCAAGAUGGUGUACGCUGGCGGGGACGACCCGGCGGCGCGCGAGGCAUCGGAGAUCGUCCUCUCGCAGGGGUUCUGGAAGGAUUUGGAGGCGGUCCAGGCGAUCUCGCGGGUGGUGGCGGUGAUGAUCCGCGACAUGGAGGCCGAGCGCCCGCUCGUCAGCCAGUGCCUGCCAAUGUGGGAGGAGCUCCGGGACAAGCUCAUGGAUUGCUGCGCGCGGCAUGGAAAGGAUCAAGCGUCGAUCAUGCGGCUGAUCCAGGCGCGAUUCACGACGAACUACCACCCGGCGUGGUCGGCUGCGCUGGUACUCGACCCGCUCUACCUCGUCAAGGACGCAAACAACCGCUACCUCCCGCCAUACAAGAUCCUGAGCUCCGAGCAGGAGAAGGACGUGGAUCGGCUCAUCACGCGGCUGGUUUCGCGCGAGGAGGCGCACAUCGUGCUCAUGGAGCUCAUGAAGUGGCGGUCCGAGGGGCUGGAUCCGCUGUACGCGCAGGCGGUGCAGGUGAAGGAGACGGAUCCGGCGACGGGGAGGGUGAAAUGUAUGAGCGGGCAGAGCCGGAGGCUGGUGUGGGAGACGUGCUUGAACGAGUUCCGGCUGCUGGGAAAGGUGGCGGCGAGGUUGAUCUUCUUGCAUGCGACGUCCGGGGGGGUGAAGAGCUGGGCGCUCAAGGUGGCGGGGAAAGGUGGCGGAGGGUUUGGAGGCGGAUUUGGGGGCCUUGGGAGGGUGGCGGCGGAGCGGGCGGGGAAGAUGAUGUACGUAGCGGCGCACGCGAAGCUGGAGCGGCAUGAUUUCGUGACUGACGAGGAGCGGGAGUUUUUGGCGGCGGCGGUGGAGGAGGAGGAGGAGAUGGGUGGCGGCAGCUUGGCACGGACGAGUAGUGGGACUAACAGGGAGGGUGGCGGCGGUGGGAAUGGUGGUGGUGGCGGGGAUCAUCACCACCACCACCAUCACCAGCAGCAGCAGCAGCAGCAGCACGAGGGGUUUCUAGGACCUGGAGGAGGAGGAGGAUCGACUCACUUGUAAAACUUUCUACGGAGUUCUUAGAACUUUGGGAUGGUGAACAUCUUGACUCUCACUCACACAACUCGGCUGGAUCGUUUCUAGGAAGAUUCGGGGGAGGAGUCGAUCGAAAUAACGAGAGAGGCGAGGCGACUGAGGAAGAAAUUGGGACUCUUGGAGGAGGAUCAAGGUUUCAUUUUUGAUGAUUGAUGGCUUUCUUGCUUUGCAUGCUUUGCUCGACAAAGUUAGCGAGCGAGCUUGCCUUGUUUGAUUCGAGCAUAGGCAUCUGGCCAAGUUGGCGAACCCCCCCUUUUGUAAAUUUCUUUUGUUUCUCAUCUUUGAUACACAGAUAGACAAUAGAUCUCUCCGAUCUCUCUUGGAGAAUAAGAAUCCGGAGUUUCUUUGGAUUCGCGUCAUUUAAAAAAAAAGAAAGAAAAUCGAUGGCAAUACCAUAUUCUCUUUCUUCUCUCUCUCUUUUUCAGGUGUGAAAGGUGAAUGUAUUGGAGAGAAUGGGGACGGACGAGUAUUAAUUGCUGGCUUGCUUGCAGAUUUGCUUGGCACCGGUUUUGAUGGGACAGUGUCUGGUUUUGGUUCGAGGAACUUAAGGAACGGUUCAAAUCAAUCAAGCAAACGGGAUAAGGAGACGACGACGAUAUCUGGAUCUGCGGCGGCGAUCGUCUUAACGUUAAGCGUCUUGCUUUUCUCCGUAGUUUUGGCUUUCGCUGAAUUCAAUCAAGAGAAGAACGGGCUUUGAUGAUGUGAAACUGAAGAUCCAAAUCCCUGGAGGGCAAAGGCAAAUCUAUCAAUCAGGCACUGAGUUUGGUGUAAGCGUGCACGAUCCAUCAAGCCAAGGGAGGCCCUUGGAGUUUACAACGUCAUUGCCAGGAUCUUGUUGGAAAUUGGAAUCCUUUGAGUUGAGAUGGAACACUAUAGGAGAAACGUUUUAGCACGCAAACUCUUAACAGGGGAGAAAAACCCAAGAAGACUUACCUGGUUGGCUGCCACGAAGAACGUCAAUAAAGAUCGAUCUCUUCCUGAAGAACUGGAUGGUUUUAAAAGUUCCUGUAUUGAUCGAGCUGGCGCUUCUUGGCCAGAUCGCUGAAAAUGUCUGCCGAGUUGCGCUUGUACCGGAGGAAAAACUCCGCCAUCAAGAUCUCUUGCUGCUCCGGCUCUAGAUCUCCAUGAAUGCCCUGGACGGAUCAUCACAAACGCUGUGAGAAACUCCUCACGCUUCCAGUGACUUCAAACUUACAUUCCUAGCGAUCCUGUCACAAACGGCAUGACGCAUGAGAAUUCCAGCCGCGACCGACACGUUGAGAGAAUCCACCAUACCAAACAUUGGAAUCCCGCAAAGUAUGUCCGCCUCGGACGUGGAGUAGUCACUGGCACCCCUGCGUGUAAGAAACUACAAACUUAAGAAAGCUUCUUUUCUAUAGCUGAAAAGAAACAUCCAAUGACGACUAGCUUACUCGUGCUCGUUACCGAAAAUCACUGCAGUUGGAAUCGUCCAGUCCAUUUCACAGAUAGAAACCUGGCAAGGACGAAGAACUUAUAAACAAAAAAAACAAAAAACAAGAGGAAAAAUAGAGGUUUUAGUACCGUGUCAUGACCUGUGCUUGUCACUGCUAUCCGGUAACCCCGGGAUCUCAAUGCCUGGAUACAAUCUUUUGCGCAAUUCCAUACCUCAACAUCUAGCCACCGUUCUGUCCCUCUAUGUGCUCUCCUCACACCUUUGUACCUGAAAAUCACACACAAAAACAACAAAUGAUAUAGACGAAAGCUCGCUCAUCAUUCCAAAAACUCACCCUUUAACAGUGAGAGACGUGAUCACAUGAACGGACUGGAAGCCAAAUGCUUCCGCGGAUCUAAAGAUGGCGGCGAUGUUGCCCGCGUUGUCCAGAGCCUCGGCCACGAAACACGCCGAGUAGCUCCUGCUGCGCACAACCCGCUCAAAGCGCUCCUUCAUUUGCUUCUCCACGAACUCGGCCAGGGAAGCAAUCACCACUUUGCUGCUGGAUGAUUGCUUCUCCGGUUUAUCCAGAUGGAACUCGUCCUUGUAGGGGAACCAGGGACGAUUGGAUGCCGGGACAGCAUCGAUCAAGCAUGCCUCGUGGUUGAAAAUCUCUAUAAAGAGUGGUCUGGAAUCACAACGUUUUGGAGAAUCUUACCUGGGACAAUGGCGGGAGGACUCGUUGAAGGUGUUUGCUGCCGCUGGAACGAAAACCGCACGGGGGAAAUCGCACUAAGGCAGAGCAACAUCAGGAAACCCUAGCAUUCUCCAAAAUGGAAAAAAGUAAAUAUAUAAACACUAAGGGUUACAAAGAAAAGAAGCUAGAUAAAUAGAUCAACUAGGAGUAACUUGGUUUCUUAGUAUGUAAAAGAAAUAAAGAGAACUAGAACAGAAUAAAAAGAAUUGGUGCUAAACUCAUUUAUAUUUGUGCUUUUGGGCUUUUAUUUUACAUGUUAUUUAUUCAAAUAAAUAUCUUAUAUUUAUAGUAAAUUAUAAUAAAAAUAACUUAAAUAUAAUUUAAAAGAGUUGUUAAAUAUAUAUAUAUAUGUAUAUACAUGUAUUAUCCUACCUAAAUAAUAUGAUAAUUAUAGUACUAGGAUCAUCCAUUUAAGACUUAAUAUGGUCCAUUUAUUCUUGUAUAUAAAAAGUAGUCUAAACCCUAAUUAAUAUACUUAUUCGAGCACUCACAUUUGUGGAAGUGAAGAGCAUUGUAAUUUAUUCCUGAAGGGUAAAGCUUUUUGGCAGUACUUUACUUUAGUGUUUGGGAUUGUGUUUCUUGUUUUUAUUUCUUUAUUCUUUUUUAAAUUUAUAUUUAUAUAAGCUUUUUGCAAGAUUUAGAAUUCUAGCUUUCUUUGUGCUUAGAUUUGCUUUUUUUUCUAAUCUUCAUUGCAUUUUCUUUUUCUACCAUGUCAAGAGGUAUAUCACUUAAGGUUGUUAAUGUCAUUCUGUUGGACUGAGUUUUUGGUGUUGUGGGGUGUAAUUGUAUUAGUGUUACACCCAUCUUUGGUGUGUUAUUAUCUCUAUCUUUUAUGGGGAUGUGAUUAUUUAAUUUAUCAUGUUUUCAGUGUUUUGCCAUCUCCUAUUUAUGUGGAGCGUGAUCGUGAUAUUGAUUGGUAAAUUAUAGAUGAUGCAAUUUAGUUUUUGGAGAAUGUUUGAACAUCAAGUUUAUGGGAGGAUAAUGUUUACGAGCUUGAGUGGAUUCUAAAUUGUGAUAAGGAUCUUGAUUAUUAUAAAGAUAGCUUUGGAGAUGAGUUAAAAAUUUCGCAAGGUAAAUGUCAAUUUGUAAGCCAUUAAAUUUCUAUUUUACUUUAGUCAUUUAACCAUGCCUUUGACCAUUUGCAGAAGUUUUGCUCACGACCUCCAUAAGUCCUAUUCUUGACUUAGGACAUGCUAGCCCCAUGUAGCACACGUGGUUUUGACCCUUUAUCCUAUGGUGAUUUACCAUAGGAUAACACCACGAAGCGGAACCUAAACCCUCUUUAUGCCACGUGACACAGGCCACGUGUUAUAUGCCACGUGUCCAAAGGACAAUGGUGCGGAACUUAAGGUUCAGGGCCUUGGGCCACUGAACGAAGGAACGGUGCCAAACUCCCAAGCAUGGAGCUAAGGAGUGAUGGAACGGACCACAGAGCAACUCCUGAGCAUACAGCCCAAGGAGCGAAGGGACAAGAGCCCGGAGUGACUUAAAACAAUCCUAGAGCAACCAGUAUCCCAUUGCCAGGACCAGCACGCAAAACGGAGCCAAAUGGAGUCUGGCACUAUUUCAGCAUACUAGUGGCCUAAUGCAAGGACAUGGGUAUUCCACCAGCUAGCAUGGAAAAGAACUUGGGCUUAGACCCAAGCCGGACACAGAACAAGGAUAGGCAUGCAAGUAGGAGCUAGACUAUGCCUCAGGUUGGUCAGCCAUGCUUGACUUACCCACUAUCCCUACUAUACAUUUGGAACCCCCCCCCCCCCCCCUCCCCAAGGAACACAUGUUUUGGGUUUUCACCCCAAGCCUCCUUUAGUAUCAGGAGUUAGUCUCUGGGACAAGCUUGAAACUUACUAAAUAUGGAAUGGCGCUAGAUUGCAAAUUUGGACAAGGGACGAACACCAUUGUGUUCAAAACAAUCUUUACAUUCCGUAGAUAUGCCAAAUGAGCAAAUCUGAACACAUUCCAUAAAUAGCAUUUGGGACCAAAAUGAGACUAACACAAAGGGUAUGAUAGCAAGGGUGUUUGGAAGACAUGGAAAGCUAUCAUUCAGCGAUAUUGAGAGACUAGUCUCAAUACGUGGGGGUUCUUGAUACUAGCAAGUCUAAUGACAGGAGUUUCUCAAACCAGGCCGAGUAUGCUCAACAAGAAACACAUAAGGUUCCUACUUUAUGUUUAUCUGAUUUAAAUACACAGUCACUGACCAGUUUCUCAACUAGCUCAAAUGGGAACUGAUAACGGGUCCAGCAAUAUGUGAGACACAAAAUCCCUAGGCCCCAAAGUGGAGCCGAAAUGGUGCCACGUGGUAGUGGCCAAAGCGAAAGCCAAACGAGCAUAACACGUUUGGACUAAAAGCUCCAACUUGAAAGGUUGAGAGUGGGAGUGGGACUCUCAACAAAGUGCUCGAGGAACAAGCACAAAGCGAGCAAUAAGCAAGGCUCCAAAAAGGGACCCAAAAGGACCAACACAUGACACAUGGGAGAGUCCGAUAUGGAGUCCGAGAUGGGACCCGAGAUGGAGUUCGAGAUGGACCUGAGAUGGAGUCUGAGAUGGAGUCCGAGAUAGACCCGAGAUGGAGUCCGAGGUGGACCCGAGUUGGAGUCUAAGGUGGACCCGAGAUGGAGUCCGAGAUGAACCCGAGAUGGAGUCCAAGGUGGACACGAGUUGGAGUACAAGGUGAACCCGAGAUGGAGUCUGAGAUGGAGUCCGAGAUGGACCCGAGAUAGAGUCCGAGAUGGACCCGAGAUGGAGUCCGAGAUGGAGUCCGAGAUGGACCCGAGAUGGAAUUCGAGAUGGAGUCUGAGAUGGAGUUCGAGAUGGAGUCUGAGAUGGACCCGAGAUGGAGUCCGAAGUUGAGACCGAGACCGGGACCGAAACCGGGACCGAGACCGAGACCGAGACCGAUAUCGGGACCGAGACCGAGGCCGAGACCGAGGUCGAGACCGAGUCCAAGUCCGGGUCCAAGUCCGAGUCCGAGUUUGAGUUUGAGAGGGUGAAAGCCCAAAGCAUUCAUCUCCCAGACCCUAGGGGGUUUGGUGAGCUCCAAAAGUAUAGUGAGAGGGAGGACUGCAGUGGAGCCAAUUUGGCCAGAAAAGGCUAGUUUGGCCCAGGAAGGCUAUACCCUGUGUUGGGUGAUGAGCUGCCCAUUGGGAAGUCCAAGACUAGAGUGAACAUGGACCGACAAGUAGGGUAGCUUGGUAAAGUGUUCAAGAGUUGGCUCUAGUUCCUCCAGGAGAUCGACUAGCCGAUGCUCCCAGUCCAAGUGUGGGUGGCACUACUUACUUGGAUACCAGGUGUGGUUCAAUGGAACCUCACUCUAAGCCCAUGGCUAGAGCACCCAAAGGCAGAAGGCGGGGAGAGUACCCAUGAGGUUCGCAUAAGGCCACGGUGUUCCGAAAUGUUGUCCCAAAGUCCCAGACUGUGAAAAGGAAGAGGAGCCAUCCUAUAGUGUAGAGACCAAGGAUAUGGUCAUGUGAGGAGGAAGUCCCAGAAGACCAUGGGAUUUAGUGGUCGGGCCUAUGGGCCUCAAUCCAGUGGCAGUGUUGGCGAACACGGCCAUGGGCAAAAAGGGACUUGGUGGGGACCAGAAAGGGGAUAUUGGGGAAGGCUAUUCCCCAUAUCCAUCGGCAUCCUAAAGAUGAUAAGUAGUGGAUCUAGGAUGAUCACUCAUGGAUGGAUGGCUUAGUCUUUGAGAGACGGGACUGGGAUGUAGGUGGUGUCAGACCACUGAUAUAACCAAGGUGAAUGGGUAUGGCCUUAGCGUAAUGGGUUGAUAUGUCAGUGGUACCUUGGGGUGUCAGUCAUGGGAUCGGACACGUGGAGCACUUGGACCAAGUGCAAAGGUUGAGUGGCAGGGAUGCCAUUCUCAAGGCUACCAAACCCAAAUCCAAAAUAGGACUUAUGGAGGUUGUGAGUGAGAUUCCUCCAAGUGGUCGGAGGUGUGGUUAAGUGAUUAAAGUAGAUUGGAAAAAUUAGUCGCUUACACAAUAUCGACCUCCUACCAUCAUGGCAGUAAGGUAAGAGUGUCCGUAAGGAUUGGUUAACAAGUAACUUUCGAUACCCGAAGUUACAUUCGCAACACCCUAUGAAUAGAAUCUAUGCCACAUAGCCUUUGCACUUGGUCUAAGUGUUCCACGUGUCCAAUCCCAUAACCGACACUCAAAGGUACCACCGAUAUAUCAUCCUGCUACACUAAGGCUAUGAUCAUUCACCUUUGUCACAUCGGUAGUCCAAGACCACCUACAUCACAAUCUUAUCUCUCAAGGAUUGGGCCAUCUGCCCAUGAGUGGUUAUCCCUUAACCACACUUUAGCACUAUUAGGAUGCCUAGAGACAUGGGGAACACCCUUCCCUAAUACCCCUUCUUCCAUCCUUACCAAACUUCUCUUCAUCGACAGCCGUGCUUGCCCACACCACCACUGGGUUAAGGCCAAAAGACCCGACCACUAAAUCCUACUGUCCUUUAGGACUUCCUCACCAUAUGACAGUAUCUUUGGUCAUUAUACCAAAGGAUUACUUUUAUUCCUUUCCACAAUCUAGGACUUUGGGAUGAUAUUUCGAAACACCAUGGCCCUAUGCAAGCCUUGUAGGUACUUUCCCCACCUUUUGCCUUUAGUUGCUCUAGCCAUGUGGCUAGAGCGAGGUUCUAAUGAGCCACACCAAGUAUCCAAGUAAGUAGUGCCACCCGCACUUGGAUUGGGAGUAUCGACCAUUUGAUCUUUCGAAAGAGCUAGAGCCAGUUUUUGAACACUUCACCAAGCUAUCCUGUUUGUCAGUUUGUAUUCACUCUAGCUUUGAACUCCUCAAUGGUUUAAUCAUCACCCACCAUGUGGGUAUAACUUUCCUUGGUCACAUUAGUUUUUCUUGGCCAAACUGGCUCCAUUGGAGUCCUCCCCCUAUUAUACUUUUGGAGCUCACUAAACCCCCUAGGGUCUGAGAGAUGAACACUUUAGGCUUUCACCCUCGAACUCGGACUCGAACUCAGACUCGGACUCAAACUCGGAUUUGGACUUGGACUCAAACUUAAUCUCGGUCUCAGUCUCAGUCUCAGUCUCGGCCUUAGUCUCAGUCUCGAUCUCGGUCUCGGUCUUAGUCUUGACCUCAGACUCCAUCUCAGGUCCAUCUCAGACUCCAUCUUGGGUCCAUCUUGGACUCCAUCUCAAGUCCUUCUCGAACUCCAUCUCAGACUCUAUUGCGGGUCUAUCUCAAACUCCAUCUUGGACUCCAUUUUAGACUCCAUUUCGGACUCCAUCUCAGGUCCAUAUUGGACUCCAUCUCGGACUCCAUCUCGGGUCCAUCUUAGGUCCAUCUCGGACUCCAUCUAGGGUCUAUUUCAGAUCUAUCUCAAACUUCAUCUCGAUACUUCCAUUUGUCAUGUGUUGGUCUUCUCAUGUCCCUUUUCUAGAGACUCACUUAGUACUUGCUUUAUGUUCAUUCCUCAAGAUUUUCGUUGGGAGUUCCACUCCCACUCUCAACUAUCCAAGUCGGAACUUUUAGUCUAAAUGUGUUACACUUGUUUGGCUUCUACUUCGGCUCUUACUAUGUGGCACCCUUUUAGCUCCACUUUGGGGCUUAGGGAUUUGUGUCUCACACAAUCCUUUAAUCUACCAUUUAAUUGAUUUAAAUAGUUGUCUUAGAGGAUUAUUGAUGAGCAAACUUAAAAGUAAUUGCUACAAUGGCAUUUCAUGAACUAUAAUGGUUCUUGAAGUCCCUUGUUUUAGUUCAAAAUUAUGGCUUCAAAGUUAGUUUAAGCAUUUAAUAAUUUCAUAUGGAGUUAUAACUAGUCCAUAUGCUAAAGUACUAUAAUUAGCAUAUUACUUAAGCAAGGUAAUACAUAUAUAUGUGUUUACAAAUCUUACACCAUCCUCUCUUCAAGAAGAUGAAAAGGUAAUAACAAUAAGUUAAAUGGAACAUCUAGAGCUUCUAUUAAGGGAUUAUAAACUAUUAUAAAAACUUGAAACUUCCAUAUAACCAUUAAUAUAGUAGUUGAUAAGCAUAAUUGAAAUAAAAUUUAAAGCCAUGGUAUAAAUAGUAGUUGAUUGAGAUUCCACAAUCAACUACUAUUUAUGCCAUGGCUUUAAAUAGUAGCUAUGGCAUAAAUAGUAGUUUUGAUAUAAUAACUUUUAACUAUGUGAGAAGGUUUCAGGAAUCCCCCAAUUCUUGCCACAUUCCUGACUCUCGCCGGAUUCCUGACCUGCAGACCACAUUCCUGACUCUCGAGACACUUCCCUAUUCCUGACUCUCGAGACACUUUUUUAUUCCUGACUCUCGAGAAACUUCCCGAUUCCUGAGUCUCGAGCCACAUUCCUGAUAAUGAUGUGGCGCCUCCUCGACCUCAGCUAUAUUUAGGCCGUCCUCGAUCCAAGAGUGGUGGAGCUUCAUCAACCUAUGGUAUAUAUAGGUUAGCCUUGUUCCAUUUCUCCACAAUCUGAAUCAACGCCAGUCUAAGGCCUCUUCUUUGUUUCCACUAGCUUUUCUCUUUGUCUUUUUGCAUUUUCCAAUCUUGAUCUUGUCAGGGGUCUUGACAAUUUGAUUCAGAUUGUGUUUUUUCAUUUUUUGAUUUAGCUCGUUUUGAUUGUUUGAUUACCUUUGCCUUUUUUUCCCCCUUUUUCCUUUCUUCUUGCCAAUGGAGUCUCCAAGCCAUCCUGAUUUCUUUGCUGAAGUCCUUGCAAAAAUCCAGUAUGAGAAUACCGAGUUGAAGGCAACCCUUCUUCGCAUGCAGCAAGAGCUUGCUUCACUUUCGGCUCAAGGAUCCAGCAAAGUUCCUGAACCGAAGGUGAGCUUCCCGGCGAAAUUUUCAGGCAAGCGUUCAGAGCUUUGCGGAUUCCUGAACCAAAUGGAGUUGAUCUUCGCACUUCAACAUCGGCGGUACCCUACUCCCGAGUCUCAAAUCGGCGCGAUUGGGACGUUGCUCGAAGGUGCAGCUUUGUCAUGGUUUUCUCCUCUUCUGGAGAAGAGCAUGAAAGGGGUCAUGGUUCCAGAGCUGAUGGAUCUUCAAUUGUUCAAAGAGAAGCUCGAAGCAUGUUUUGGCGAGACGGAUCGGGUUCGGGCUGCUACCACAAAGAUGAGACGUCUCUCUCAGGGGUCUCGUCCUACCUCGAUCUAUGCUGCAGAGUUCCAACUCCUUGCUUUGGACACUCAGUGGGAUGAGCGGGCCCUGAUUGACCAAUUUCGUUUUGGCCUCAACAACGGUGUCAAGGAUUUGUUGCUCACCAUGGAGGAUCCCAAGGACCUGUCGGAUGCCAUCAACAAAGCUGUUCGAUAUGACAAUCGUCUCUUUGAACAUCGUCAGGAAAGUCACCGCGCCGCUGUUUUUCCGUCCCAGACUCAGGAAUCCCAGCUUGAGUCUUCGGGGCAUACUCCUGAACCUACUGCUCCGGUUCCGAUGGAUAUUUCUGGUACUCCCCGACUCAUUAGAGGGAAGUUGAGUCCUGCUGAGAAGCAACGUCGAAUAUCUCAUAAUCUUUGCCUCUAUUGUGCUGAUCCUAAUCACAAAGCAGCUGUAUGUCCCAAGAAGCCUCCUCGACUGCUCGAGUUCACUCUGCCUCAAAGUCCACCUCUAUUGCAGUCAGGAAACGACCCUGUCUAAAUAGAGUAGGAGCUGUCUGUUUGGACUCCCCAAAUAAAAAUCACUUUUCUUCUCUAUCAAGCUCCUCACCACCUUUCAUCAAAGCCACCACCAAUUCCCGCAACUUCCACGUCCCAUGUCUCCUUUCUUUCACCGGACAAUCAGGACUCAAGGCUCUGGCAUUACUGGACUCGGGUGCAACUUCCUGCUUCAUGGACACGGACUUUGCUGCCCGACAUCACGUUCCUCUUUCUCCUACCAUAUGGGAUUUGAGGGUUGAAGGCAUCGGCGGGCAUUUUGUGUCUCCAUCUUCUGGACUUAGGGAAACGUUGCCCGUUCGAGUACACAUCGGGUCCACCGUCACCGAUAUCGCCUUCAACAUCAUCAGCAGCAAGUCCUCCUCUGUGGUGCUCGGUCUUCCUUGGUUCCAACUACAUCAGCCUCAGAUCUGUUAGAAGGAAUUACAACUCAUCUCUCCCACGGCUUCCCCUGCUGUUCAUCGAGUCCGAAUCAGGAAAAGUUCCCUAAACUCAAAUCGUGGUUCUGUUCCUGACUCCAUAAAGUUUUCACCCUCUUCUUUUUCCUCUCUUCCAUCUUACACUGGACCGUAUCCUCAUCUCAUCAUUCCAUUUAGUCAUACGCCUCCUCCUAUCUCCACAAUCACUAUGAAAAAACUCCUUCAUGAAGAACCUCUUUUUCUUUUUGCUUUGCAUGUUUCUCCUGUCAGUCUUCCUGAGAAGUAUCAUGAUUUUGGGGAUGUGUUUGACAAGAAAAAAGCUAGUGUACUGCCUGUUCAUCGGCCUUAUGAUUGUCCCAUUGAUUUACAGGAAGGAGCGUCACCUCCGUGGGGGCCUAUCUAUGGGUUAUCCCCGUCCGAGCUUAAGGCCCUCAAAGAGUACGUGGAUGAGAACCUUGCCUCGGGCUACAUUCAGCAUUCGCAGUCCCCGGCUGGAGCGUCUGUCUUUUUUGUCAAGAAGAAGGAUGGGAGCUUGCGGCUAGUCAUCGACUACCGAGGUUUGAACAAGGUGACUGUUCGGAACCGUUAUCCGCUGCCCCUGAUCUCGGACCUGUUGGAACGCCUCGGCGGUGCCCGCUUCUUCACCAAGAUCGACCUCCGUGGAGCAUACAACCUGAUCCGGAUCCGGCCUGGUGAUGAAUGGAAGACUGUGUUCCGAACCCGCUAUGGCCACUUCGAGUACACUGUCAUGCCAUUUGGCUUGACAAAUGCUCCAGCAGUUUUCCAACACAUGGCAAACGACGUCUUUCGGGAGUUUCUUGAUCAGAUGGUGAUCGUUUAUCUCGAUGACAUCCUCAUCUACUCAAAAACUCAGGAGGAGCAUGACGAACAUGUUCGCAAGGUGCUAGCGAAGUUGCGAGAACACGGCCUAUACGCAAAGCUUGAGAAAUGUUCCUUUGAUCAGCAGUCUGUGGAGUUCCUUGGGUACAUUGUCACUCUUGAGGGUCUCACGAUGGAUCCUGCCAAAGUCAAGACUAUUCUCGAAUGGGAGCCUCCACAAUCAAUGUCAGACGUUCAGGUUUUCCUUGGCUUAGCCAACUUCUACUGCAAAUUCAUUGAUCACUACUCUGACAUUGUCCUUCCUCUCACACAUCUCACUCGCAAAGAUGUUCCCUUCUCUUGGUCUGCUUUUGCCCAGCAGGCCUUCGACACACUCAAGGCGGCCUUCAGUUCUGCUCCUGACUUGAUCCAUGCUGAUUCCUCACAACCUUUCUUCAUCAAGGCUGACGCCUCCGACUUUGCCAUUCGUGUUGUGCUGUCUCAACUCGGAGCGGAUCAUGAACUUCAUCCGGUCGCUUUCCAUUCUCAGAAAUUCCAGCCUACGGAGAUCAAUUACGAAAUCCACGACAAGGAGCUCCUUGCCAUCGUGGAUUCCUUUGGAGAGUAGCGCCGUUUCUUGGAGGGGGCAAGCCAUCAAACAACAGUCUGGACGGAUCACAAAAAUCUCAAGUACUAUGCCACUUCCCGAGUUUUAAGCUGUCGUUAAGCAAGGUGGGCACAAUUCCUGAGUCGGUUUGACUUUGUUAUCAAGUACAGACCUGGAAAGUUUCAAGGCCUUCCUGAUGCUCUUUCAAGGCGCUCCUAUCUCAGUCUCAGGCCUGGUAAUCCUGCCUUCGAUCAACAGGAUCAAGUUAUCCUCGGUCCUGAUCGGCUUCAAGUUAUGGCAAUUUCCCUGGCCCCUCAGGACUCUUCCUUGAUGGAUGCAAUCAAAAACGAUCUUCAAUCCGAUGAUCUUGCUAGCGACAUUUUCCCCCAUCUUCAGGCUGGACACCCAGUGACUCCUGACUACCGGCGAUUUGACGAGUUCGAGUUCUUAGAUGGCUUAUUGUACCGUGGGGAGCAGCUUUACGUUCCUGAAGGUGAUGCUCGAAGGUUGGUCCUGAUGGCGUGCCACAAUAGCCCAACUGCUGGUCACUUCGGCAUUGCGAAAACUUAUGAGCUAGUUGCACGGGACUUUUGGUGGCCUCAUAUGGACGACUACAUCAAAGCUUUUGUUACCUCCUGUUACACUUGUGCCCAGAAUAAGGUACCUCGCCACCUUCCUUCAGGUUUGCUUCGUUCCCUUCCGGUCCCUUCAGGUCCUUGGGAAUCCAUCCCAUGGAUUUCUUGAGUGAUCUUCCGAGUUCUGGAGGCUUCAAUAGCAUUUUAGUCGUGGUGGAUCGCUUCACAAAGAUGGCGCACUUCUUGCCAUAUACCAAGGAGUUUUCGGGCGAGGACAUGGCAAAACUGGUAUUCAGGGAAAUUUUCCGACUUCAUGGGAUUCUUACAGAUGUGGUUUCGGAUUGGGGGCCUCAGUUCAUCUCUCAUUUCUGGCAACAGUUUUUGCAGCUGCUUGGAGUGAAGGCCAACCUCUCUUCGGCAUAUCAUCCUCAAACUGAUGGGCAGCCCGAGCGAACGAUUCAGACGUUGGAACAAUUCUUGAGGUGCUUCAUCAACUAUCAUCAGGAUAACUGGUUUGAUAUCCUUCCCCUUGCUGAGUUCUCCUAUAACAACUCUGUUCACUCCUCUCUUCGAGUUUCCCCCUUCUUUGUGAACUCUGGCCGAAAUCCCCGAUUCAAUCUCUCACUUCCUUCUCCAUCUGAAUCCUCUCGUUCAAAUCCCCGCUCUGAGGCAUUUAUCUCCAACCUCCAGGAAAUCCACAACUCCAUCUCCUUCCACCUCCAUCGUGCUCAGGAAUUUCAUAAAACAUUUGCCAAUGUCCAUCGUCAGGAUUGUCCCCCUUACAAUAUCGGGGAUAAAGUCUGGCUCCUCAGGCGAAAUAUCUCCACCACCAGGCCCUGUCCAAAACUCGAUUUCAAACACCUUGGUCCUUUCCCUAUCACUGCCAUCAUUAAUCCUGUCACUUAUCGCCUUGCACUUCCCUCCUCAUAUCAAAUUCACCCUGUUUUUCACUCCUCUCUCCUUGAGCCUUAUAUUCCCAGUCCUAUUCCAAAUCGGGUCAUUCCUCCGCCUCCACCAGUGCAGCUCGAGGAUGGGUCUGAGUACAAGGUUCAGGACAUCCUUGAUUCCAAGAUUUCACGGUCUAAACUCUACUAUUUGGUGGACUGGAAGGGUUACGGACCUGAGAAACGCACUUGGGAACCUGCAGACAACCUACUUCAUUCUCCUGACCUUGUUCAAGACUUCCACCGUCGCUAUCCUUCUCUUCCCAGUCCUCAUUCUUUUUCUCCAUCUCCCAUCCCUCACCACUCAUCUCAUCCUCCUCUUCGUUCUCGUUCACAUCCUCGUUCCACUUAUUCUUGAGGAGGGGGUGCUGUUAGGAAUCCCCCAAUUCUUGCCACAUUCCUGACUCUCACCGGAUUCCUGACCUGCAGACCACAUUCCUGACUCUCAAGACACUUCCCUAUUCCUGACUCUCGAGACACUUUCCUAUUCCUGACUCUCGAGAAACUUCCCGAUUCCUGAGUCUCGAGCCACAUUCCUGAUGAUGAUGUGGCGCCUCCUCGACCUCAGCUAUAUUUAGGCCGUCCUCGAUCCAAGAGUGGUGGAGCUUCAUCAACCUAUAGUAUAUAUAGGUUAGCCUUGUUCCAUUUCUCCACAAUCUGAAUCAACGCCAGUCUAAGGCCUCUUCUUUGUUUCCACUAGCUUUUCUCUUUGUCUUUUUGCAUUUUCCAAUCUUGAUCUUGUCAGAGGUCUUGACAGAAGGGUCUAAAAUUCCUAUAUCUCACAUAGUUAAAAGCUAUUAUAUCAAACUUUCUUCUAUUGUUUUUUAGCAUUAAAUAUAUUUUUUAAAAAACUCAUAAAAGUUUCUUAAUUGCACUUAAAAUUUUCAAUAUAAAUUCUUCACAAUGUGAGUGCAUGGAAUAUGAAAAUAGAAUACAUAAAUGUGCAUAUUAAUUACCCCAAAAACCUAGCUUAUAUACAGGAACGAGUUGUCUAGAUUGAAACUAAUUUGAUAGCUAUCAAAAUCCCACUACCUUUAGUAAAUAGGCCAAGAUCUAGAGGAACAUCAAAAGGAGCUAUUAGUGAAUCUAUAGGCAGUGCUAGUUAUUCUUGAUCACUUUGUACAAAUUGUUUUAGUCAUUGUAUAUGCACAAUUUGCCUAUUGAAUGUUAUGCCAAACCUCAAAAACUUGCAAUCCAACUUGCUACAACACCUAAUAUAGUCCCUUCCACUGAGCAAGAAGCCCUUUAAACAAACCACGUACUGUAAGAUUAGGAAAAUGGACUAAUACUAAGUCAUCCACUUUAUACUCUACAAGUGAAUAAUGAUGGGAGUUAUAGCAUUGUUGUUGUAUUAUAGCAUUGCAUCACUUGAAUGCAAGCUAGGUGUUUGAUAGACUCUACUCGGACCAAGGACUCAUCAAAUAUUAAUCCCAAGAUCUAUCAUCAACAGAUCAUGGCAAUCACGAAAGUAAACUCAACUCCGUUGAUAAUAUUGGAUUAUGACUACGUCAUAUCUUCAAUUAAUAGAAAGACUUAUACAGUUUCUCAAUCACACGGUGAUAUCCCAUAUGCCACUUUGAAUAGAAGAAUUAUAAAGAUAUGCAUGAAGUUUCUCAAAACCUCAAAUUAUUACUAAACAUUCUUUCUCUAUUGUGGAGUAGUUCACCUCCGUUGGUUGUAAUGGAUAACUAAUGUAUGCAAUGGGAUGGUAUUGACCAGGCACACUCAGGCAUCAACACACUUCCAAUACCAAUUGCAUCAACACAUCUCCAAAACCAAUAUUAAAAGCAUCCAAGUGCAAAAUGAAAGGUUAAGUACAGUUAGAAUAUGUCAAAAUUAUAAGAGUUGUCAAUAACUCUUUGAGAUCCAUAAAUGCUUGUUCGUAGUUGAUAGACCAAAUGAAAGACAUUGUUGACAAUUUCAAUAAUGCUCGCAAUGGUGCAGUACGAUCAAAAAGAUUAUCAAUAAAUUAGCUAAGAUAUUACACCUUGCCUAAGAAGUGUUGCACAUCAUUUAUACACUUUAGAGUAGGGAACUUGAGAACAACCUUAAGUUUGUUAAGUUUAACUUUCAAACCUUCACGAGGAAUACUAUACAUAAAAUAAUUGAUGUUCUUGGACCUAAAGACACUUUGAUUACUUCAACUUUAAACCAACUUCUCACAACUAAUCCAACACAUUAUGAAUAUCAUGGAUGUGUUCCUUCCAAAUCAAUCAAGAUAUCAUCAAUGAAGUUAGUAGUCAUUUUUGGCAUAUUGUAAAGAACCUUGUCCAUCAUCCAUUAAAAAGUCACUAGAACAUUGUGCAAACCAAACACCAUCACCAAGAAUUUGUAUAAAUGCUUUAUUUCGUUAAAGUGGAAUUUAUUCAGUAAAGUGGGACAUUAAUUAGCAUGUAUCCACAUGCCAUUUCCUAGUACUUAAUUAAUAUUUAUUAAUAUUUCUAUCAGUUUUUUAAUUUAUUUUUUAUAUUUCACAAUAUUAUAACACAAAAUCAUAUGAAAAGUUUUUAAUUUAUAAAUUAUAAAGCUAAAACUUCAAUUUUUUAUUGUUGUUAUAAAAAUGGCAUGUGGGCACACUCCAUAAGUGGGAUAAUGAAAAGUUCCACUUUAACGAAAUAAAGCAUAUAAACCAAAUGAUGUAUGAAAAAUAAUUUUAGGAAUAUCUUCAUCGACCAUUGGUAUAUCCAGAGCAAGAUCUAACUUGGUGAAUCAACAACUUCUCCUUAAACGAUCGAGGAAAUCAGUAGUGUGAGGUAGAGGGUAUAUAUAUGGGAUUGUCAUUUUAUUUAAUAUACAAUAGUUAAUGCUAAAACAAAUAUUUUCAUCAAAAUUUGUUAUAAAAUGAGGUUCACAUGCCCAAGGACUACACAACUUUAAAGUAACACCCUUGUCUAACAUCUUCUUGACAUUUAUACGUAAAAUUGUGAUCUCUUUUAUGUAAGCAACCAAAGGGAACGACUUGAGAGACGAUCCAUGGGGUUCAAAUAUAGAGGGAAAAGGCCCAUGAAUAAGAGUGCACCCUUUUCCAAUCGGUUAAGGGUCUUGGGAUAGUUGGAGUUAAGCAUCCUUGGGUUUGAAUAGUACUGGGCUGGGUGACCUCCCGGGAAGUCCAAAUUCAGGAGUUUACAUUUGGUAUCAGAGCGGUCUCGGGUCCGACUCUAUUGGUUGGCUAAGGGAAUCACACCACAUGUUGAUUGACAUCUGGCUGGUCCAGUUUGCUCCCGCUGGGCUUGACCCGAGGGGUAGGGUGUCAAGAGAGCGAGGCUCUCGGGAGAGUUGCGGCUCUCAGCUUCUGUUCACGAGGGCAUGAACUUGCAGGGAAGCGUGGUGGAUUGUAAGCAACCAAAGGGAACAACUUGAGAGACGAUCCAUGGGGUUCAAAUAUAGAGGGAAAGGGCUCAUGAAUAAGAGUGCACCCCCUUUUCCAAUCGGUUAAGGGUCUUGGGAUAGUUGGAGUUAAGCGUCCUUGGGUUUGAAUAGUACUGGGCUGGGUGACCUCCCGGGAAGUCCAAAUUCAGAAGUUUACAUUUUAGUGACUGACAACAAAUAUGAACCUUAACUGGAUGAGCAUCCCUAGUUGGAAUGGGAUGAUGUGUUGCAAUCUUGGCCCCAGACAACAAGUCAAAUUCAAAAAGAUCGGCAUACUCCUUCAUAAGUUAAUUAAUUGCUAAGUAUAAAGGAACAAAAUGAAAAAAUAGAAGGAAGCAAUAAGGAGACAAAAGUGAUAGAAGUAGAGGUAAAAGGAAAGAGAUGAAGAAGAAUAAAAAUAAGAAGAAUAAAAGAAAUAUAAAAAAGUAUGAAAUAAAGGGAAAAAUCUUAAAGUCACAUUUGGCAUGAUUGUGCCACAAUCAAUCCAUACCAAGUAUAAAGUCAAAAGUUUGACUUGACACCACCCAUAACGAUUAUUUCAAGCUCAAGGUCGCCCACAUGCACAACUAAGGUCUGCCUCAUCCUGUGCACAUGUGUGUGUAUGACCGUUGCUAUAAAGAUUGAAAAUUAGCUUUACCGCAUGAGGCAAAUAUAGAUGGCAACAGGUGGUAAUAGGCCUAUGAGACACAAAAUCCCUAGGCCCCAAAGUGGAGCUGGAAAGGGUGCCACGUGGUAGUGGCCGAAGUGAAAGCCAAACGAGCGUAACACGUUUGGACUAAAAGCUCCGACUUGAAAAGUCGAGAGCGGGAGUGGAACUCCCAACAAAGUGCUCAAGGAGCGAGCACAAAGCGAGCAAUAAGCAAGGCUCCAAAAAGGGACCCGAAAAGGACCAACACAUGACACGUGGAAGUGUCCGAGAUGGAGUCCGAGACGGACCCUAGUUGGAGUCCGAGAUGGACCUGAAGUGGAGUCUGAUAUGGAGUCCGAAGUGGAGUCCGAAAUAGAGUCCGAUAUGGAGCCGGAGAUGGACCCGAAGUGGAGUCCGAGGUGGACAAAAACGGAGUCCGAGAUGGACCCGAGAUGGAGUCCGAGAUGGAGUCUGAGGUGGGCCGAGAAGGAGUCCGAGAUAGACCCGAGAUGGAGUCCGAGAUGGAGUCCGAGAUGGACCCGAGAUGGAGUCCGAGGUGGAGUCCGAGUGUAAGCGACUAAAUUUUCCAUUCUAAUUUAGUCACUUAACCACACCUCCGACCACUUGGAGGAGUCUCAUUCACAACCUCCAUCAGUCCAAUUCAGGACUUGGGACUUGCUAGCCCCAAGAAUGGCAUCCAUGCCACUCCACACUUGCACCUGGUCCAAGUGCUCCACGUGUCCGGUCCCGAGACCGACACCCAAAGGUACCACUGACAUCUCGGCCCGUUACGCUAAGGCCAUGCCCAUUCACCUUUGCUGCACCAGUGGUUCAACACCACUUGCAUCACCACCUCGUCUCUCCAAGACUGGGCCAUGUGUCCACGAGUGGUCAUCCUAGAUCCACUCCUUAGCAUCCUUAGGAUGCCCACAGACCUGGGGAAUUGCCUUCCCCAAAGUCCCUUUGUCAGUUCCUACCAAGUCCCUUUCUGCCCCUGGCCGUGUUUGCCAACACUGCCACUGGAUCGAGGCCCACAGGCCCGACCACUAAGUCCCACGGUCCUCUGGGACUUCCUCACCACAUGACUGUGUCCUUGGUCACUACCCCAGAGGACUGCUCCUCUUCCUUUCCACAGUCUGGGCCUUUGGGACAACAUUUCGGAACACCGUGGCCUUACACGAGCCACCUGGGUACUCUCCCCACCUAUCGCCUUUAGGUGCUCUAGCCAUGGGCUUAGAGCGAGGUUCCAUUGAGCCACACUUGGUAUCCAAGUAGGUAGUGCCACCCACACUUGGACUGGGAGCAUCGGCCAGUCGAUCUCCCGGGGGAACUAGAGCCGGCUCUUGAACACUUCACCAAGCUACCCCGCUUGUCGGUCCGUGUUCACUCUAGUCUUGGACUUCCCAGUGGGCAGCUCAUCACCCAACACUGGGUCCGGCCUUUCUGGGCCAAACUGGCCUUUCCUGGCCAAACUGGCUCCACUACAGUCCUCCCCCUACAUACUUUUGGAGCUCACCAAACCCCCCAGGGUCUGGGAGACGAACGCUUUGGGCUUUCACCCUCUCAGGCUCCGGACUCGGACUCGGACUCGGACUCGGACUCGGACUCGGACUCGGAGUCGGACUCGGACUCGGGCUCGGGCUCGGUCUCGGCCUCGGCCUCGGUCUCGGUCUCAGUCCCGAUCUCGGUCUCGGUCUCGGUCUCGGUCCCGGUCUCGGUCCCGGUCUCGGUCUCGACUUCGGACUCCAUCUCGGACUCCAUCUCGGACUCCAUCUCGGACUCCAUCUCGGGUCCAUCUCGGGUCCAGCUCGGACUCCAUCUCGGACUCCAUCUCGUGUCCAUCUCGGACUCCAUCUCGGACUCCAUUUCGGGUCCAUCUCGGGUCCACCUCGGACUCCAUCUCGGACUCCAUCUCGGGUCCAUCUCGGACUCCACUUUGGACUCCAACUCGGGUCCAUCUCGGGUCCACCUCAGACUCCACUUCGGACUCCAUCUCGGACUCCAUCUCGGGUCCAUCUCGGACUCCACUUCGGACUCCAACUCGGGUCCAUCUUGGGUCCACCUCGGACUCCACUUCGGACUCCAUCUCGGACUCCAUUUCGGACUCCAACUAGAGUCCAUCUCGGACACUCCCACGUGUCAUGUGUUGGUCCUUUUGGGUCCCUUUUUGGAGCCUCGCCUUUUUCUCGCUUCGUGCUCGUUCCUCGAGCACUUAGUUGGGAGUUCCACUCCCGCUCUUGACUUUUCAAGUCGGAGCUUUUGGUCCAAACGUGUUACGCUCGUUUGGCUCUCGCUUCGGCCACUACCAUGUGGCGCCCUUCCGGCUCCACUUUGGGGCCUAGGGAUUUUGUGUCUCACAACUCCACCACCCAUAGACGAAGUUCGAUGUCCUCAUCGAACGGUGAACCAUUUUAUAAAGUAACACCCGCAUGUGUUACCAUUUCCAUCCUUGGCGCGUAGCCAAUAUUUGUCAAUGGUGUGACAUUGAAGGCUCACCAUGCCUUCUCCAUAUUCGUCAAUGGUUGGACAUUGAAGGCUCACCAUGCCUUUUGCAUAUCCUCUAAGGAGGGUAGUCUCUCCAACUUAGAGACUGAUUGGACCACAUAUAGUGGUUCUCUCCUUUUAUUGGUUUAGUUCUCGCUAAACCUUUUAGAGACCCUUCUCUAAGUCAAUCCCACUACUCCUUCUCGAGUAGUCUCAAUUUCCAUCGACAUAACCUUUGCACUUUGGAACUUUGAAUUUUGACUUCUUGGAGUCAAUUUCCUGGGUGUCUCCAACACCUUGCAUUGCACAGAUUGUGCGACUCCACUUCCCUAUCCUAGGAAGUUCAUUACUUGAGGGCACCAUCAUCCUCUCUUCUAUUUCGUGCCACCUUGGGCACUAAGUUCCAUUUAUCACACUUUGUGCUAGGGUUGUCCAUCGCCCUAUCAUUUGGCUACCUUACCGCUCCCUCCCUUGGAGCUUCCACUUUCGCCAAAUCGGAGCAAUUCGGAAUCCCUCCUUGGAAACACACUUCCUUUCCCGCAACUUGUUAGCGUCCAACACAUUAGUGUUCCUCACCUAACUUUGUCACUUGGAUUCCUUUCAAGGGAUUCCACGGCCCUAUCUUGGCCACUCAUCUUUUGCUCCUAUCCGUUGAUUGUUGCACCAAGCAACAUCGAAUCUCUACCUCCCUCCUUGAGGUAUUGUUUCAGUUCCAUAGCAAAGACUCUUCUUUGCCAAGUCCGGAGGAUGUUCACCCCUAGUACGUCUCUUUAGCAUCUUCUGCUAUGGGCUCUAUCCACGGCCCAACUUCGUGACCCUCCCAUGGGUCUUUUAUAGAGACUACUUUCCUCGGACUCACUAUGCCAUCGCACGGACAUAGUUUAUUUCCCUUAGGUGCUCUUCCCACUUGGUUAUCACAACCAAGCCACACCACCUUAAACAGUUCAAUUUCAACAUUUGAACCAGGAACUUCAUUCCUUAGCCAACCAAGGACCUUGUCCUUUUCUGGCCAUAAGAUCACCUAGUGAUCUCACCUUGGCACAUUAACAGAGUUGCCAAGAGGUACUUGGUUUUCUAGACCUCCAAGUUGUUGACUAUAACCCCGGGGGCAUCCCCCACACUUGGCGGUGCACCCAAGCUAGCCCUUACGGCCAAGGGUUCAUAGCAACUGAGAUUAGGUGUCCCCAUCUCACUCACCAUGACCUUGGUGCCACUUGCACCAAAGUGUUCAAGUUAGAUAUGCUGAGCUUUCACACUAAGCAAUCUAACCGUGCAUCACGACUCCGAGGCAUCCCUCGCUUGGCGGUGUGCCCAAACCAGUCUCCCCACUGAGAGUCCAUGACCACCGAAAUAUGAGUGUCCUCAUAUUCCAAACCAUCACCACGCCCUAGUGAUUUGGGACUCGAACCCAAGCACUAGAGGGUCGGGACUCGAACCCAACCUCCAUAUAUGCAUCUACGGACGGCAUCACACUAGAUGCCUGGCGUGACUCCCCACGCCGGUGCACCAACCUAUUUUUAAAGUGCGCUACAGAUCACAGCUUAGGAACCUAGUUCCUCCACACUGCCAAGUCCUCUCACUUGACAUGUCUGUGAUCAUGCAUGGACUCCUCCAUGCUCGGCCCCAUGGCCCACCCCUUUUGAAGUUAUCACCUUCAACUAGGGUCUUUGUUCCCCCGACGUGCCAAUCUCACUUGGCAAGUCCUCCGACCAUUGUAACAUAGUUCCUGCAUAAGCGUGAAAGUCCUUGACCAUCGACUUUUGUUCAAAGCCCUCUCUUUGAACACUCGGGAACUACUUCCCUAACCUUGAUAACCUUGCCUCAUGGCAAGCUUCAAGACCACGCUUCUGUUGCGCCACUCUGAUUUCGCGCGUUCCAUAAACCAUUUACACUUGGCCUUUCUAGGUACUACGCUACCUAGAAUCGUCUUUGGGAACCUUGAAGGAACUCUGUCCCUCAGCUUGCUAAGGCCUCCCCUUUCGCAAGCUUUAUAGUUGCCAUAUAGUCUAACAUGGACAAUUCCAUAUUUUAGACUCUCCAUGGCAUCACGGUUGCUAGCAACAACAUCCUCGAGCACCCUCUUGCUUCUCCACUCCCAACUUUCAUAACCACUGUUGGAUAUGUCCUUUGAUUUCUAUGGUUCAAUUCCAUCCCAAUACUACUUGCCUUUGGCUUCACACCUUUCCUUCGGUCAUUCUCCUCCAGACCAGGAGGAUAGCUUUGCACUUUCUAUCAUGCCUUAGCAAGUAUUCUUAGGGAUGAACCUACCCAAUAGCCCAAGGAGUGGUUCCUCAAUCCGGGUAUGCUCAACUUAUAAUCCCACACACUGGGAUUACAUUGUUGCUUAUGGGCCUUUACAUGCCCAUCACUAGCCUUGCCAAAAUUCCAUUUUUGGCUUUGUCCAACUUGGGUAGACAGUCCUCUCCUGUCUCCGCAACCUUGGACAUUUGAAUAGCACUUUCUAUCCAUCAUUCGCUAGGGACUUAGUCCCUUGGGCUUUAUCCAUUGCCCUCGCGACAUCAAACACCACCUUCUGGUGUUCUAGAGUGUUCGGGUGUCCCAAUGAUGGCUUUCUUGACAAUGAGUAUUUCCUUUUAUGACAUUGACUUACUAUAUCGCAACAUAAGCAGCUUAUCCCCCGUAAGGGUAUAUCCGACUUCCCUAUAUUAGAAGUCUUGGGUAGCUACCUUCUACCCGUUUAACCAGUUAUUUUGCAUCUCUUGCUUAGUUGCCUCAUAGUUGUCAAGUCCUACAACUCAUUGCUUGGUGCUUGCACACCUCCAUCAUUAUCUGGGUCACCGCACUCCAAUUGUAUGCUCUGCCGCUUAGGAUAUGCCAUUCCCAUUUCCAUUGGGAUUCCUUUGGCAAGGGGUUCUCAUGAACCCACCAACAUAGCCUCAAGGUAUCACACCUUGGCACAUUUGGUGUCUCCACACCAUCGGCUCCACGAGCCUACCUCUUUGACAUUUCCCUUUCGUGUCUAAGUCUUUGCCAAGACCAACACCACUCUUUCUCAUGCCAACCAUCCGUUAGCACUGCCCCAUAGAGGUCACACACAACUUUAUGUCAAAGUUGUUUUCUUCUGGGAACACCUUUCCCAUAACUUUAGCAUGGCACAUUUUGCCAUCGAUGAGAUACCCUCUGUUCUCAUCCUUGGGUCCUACGAUCCCCCCCCAUCCUUUGUGGGGUACAACACAGCUCAGUCCAAAUGCUUCCAUCAGUCCUUUUAGGACCAUCCCUUGACUCUACUUGAGUCAUCCAGCAGUUUUGGACUUGGUUAAUCCACAGACCCGUAAGGUCCUACUUGUGAGGCACUAGCUCACUGGAAUACACUUCUUGCAUUCCUGUCCUACUCAAAAGGACUAUUUUCACAAGUGCUACUCCGACACUUGAUUUUGUUCUCUGGGGGCAACCUCUGCCCCUUAGGACUACUUGUCCAUGUGAUGAGAAUACCAACUCAUCCACUUAAUACACCCCCAACUCCUUGGGUUGUUCCAGCAUUUAUUAGAGGUAGCCCCGGCUACCUUUUCAAGGGCUUGAGUCCUCUUCCGUAUUUGACCUCCCACGGUCAUUACUUCUGGUCUCACAUUCAUGAGCACCAACCUCAACUAUAUGAGGAAAAUCUUGUGACUCCUUUAUUGCUUUGGAGUCUUUAUCUUUCCCGUGAUCCCAACUGUAGUUGUUUACCACAACUACAUUAGCCAGUUUGCUAAGUCAAACGCUCACCUGGAUCACAUCCUCAACUUUUUUUUUGAGGAAAACCAUAUACUGUUCCCAAGAUCCCAAAGUCGUUCCAUUAUUGGCCCUUUUCUAUCCACCACCCCGUCUACAAGUUCACACAUGAACUGUAAUGGAGAGCCAUGUCUUCCCGACUUGCUACUCCUCAAGGAUAGGCCCACUCCUCGGACCUUCCGAUGCCAACACUAGUGGUGAUAUACUUGAGCACCAAUAAAAGUCAGACUAAGGAACAGCUCCGAUACUAAGUUGUAAGCGACUAAAUUUUCCAUUCUACUUUAGUCACUUAACCACACUUCCGACCACUUGGAGGAGUCUCAUUCACAACCUCCAUCAGUCCAAUUCAGGACUUGGGACUUGCUAGCCCCAAGAAUGGCAUCCAUGCCACUCCACACUUGCACCUGGUCCAAGUGCUCCACGUGUCCGGUCCCGAGACCGACACCCAAAGGUACCACUGACAUCUCGGCCCGUUACGCUAAGGCCAUGCCCAUUCACCUUUGCUGCACCAGUGGUUCAACACCACUUGCAUCACCACCUCGUCUCUCCAAGACUAGGCCAUGUGUCCACGAGUGGUCAUCCUAGAUCCACUCCUUAGCAUCCUUAGGAUGCCCACAGACCUGGGGAAUUGCCUUCCCCAAAGUCCAUUUGUCAGUUCCUACCAAGUCCCUUUCUGCCCCUGGCCGUGUUUGCCAACACUGCCACUGGAUCGAGGCCCACAGGCCCGACCACUAAGUCCCACAGUCCUCUGGGACUUCCUCACCACAUGACUGUGUCCUUGGUCACUACCCCAGAGGACUGCUCCUCUUCCUUUCCACAGUCUGGGCCUUUGGGACAACAUUUCGGAAUACCGUGGCCUUACACGAGCCACCUGGGUACUCUCCCCACCUAUCGCCUUUAGGUGCUCUAGCCAUGGGCUUAGAGCGAGGUUCCAUUGAGCCACACUUGGUAUCCAAGUAGGUAGUGCCACCCACACUUGGACUGGGAGCAUCGGCCAGUCGAUCUCCCGGGGGAACUAGAGCCGGCUCUUGAACACUUCACCAAGCUACCCCGCUUGUCGGUCCGUGUUCACUCUAGUCUUGGACUUCCCAGUGGGCAGCUCAUCACCCAACACUGGGUCCGGCCUUUCUGGGCCAAACUAGCCUUUCCUGGCCAAACUGGCUCCACUGCAGUCCUCCCCCUACUAUACUUUUGGAGCUCACCAAACCCCCCAGGGUCUGGGAGACGAACGUUUUGGGCUUUCACCCUCUCAGGCUCCGGACUCGGACUCGGACUCGGAAUCGGACUCGGACUCGGACUCGGACUCGGGCUCGGGCUCGGUCUCGGCCUCGGCCUCGGUCUCGGUCUCAGUCCCGAUCUCGGUCUCGGUCUCGGUCUCGGUCUCGGUCCCGGUCUCGGUCCCGGUCUCGGUCUCGACUUCGGACUCCAUCUCGGACUCCAUCUCGGACUCCAUCUCGGGUCCAUCUCGGGUCCAGCUCAGACUCCAUCUCGGACUCCAUCUCGUGUCCAUCUCGGACUCCAUCUCGGACUCCAUUUCGGGUCCAUCUCGGGUCCACCUCGGACUCCAUCUCGGACUCCAUCUCGGGUCCAUCUCGGACUCCACUUCGGACUCCAACUCGGGUCCAUCUCGGGUCCACCUCAGACUCCACUUCGGACUCCAUCUCGGACUCCAUCUCGGGUCCAUCUCGGACUCCACUUCGGACUCCAACUCGGGUCCAUCUCGGGUCCACCUCGGACUCCACUUCGGACUCCAUCUCGGACUCCAUUUCGGACUCCAACUAGAGUCCAUCUCGGACACUCCCACGUGUCAUGUGUUGGUCCUUUUGGGUCCCUUUUUGGAGCCUUGCCUUUUUCUCGCUUCGUGCUCGUUCCUCGAGCACUUAGUUGGGAGUUCCACUCCCGCUCUUGACUUUUCAAGUCGGAGCUUUUGGUCCAAACGUGUUACGCUCGUUUGGCUCUCGCUUCGGCCACUACCAUGUGGCGCCCUUCCGGCUCCACUUUGGGGCCUAGGGAUUUUGUGUCUCACACCGAGGUGGACCGAGACGGAGUCCGAGAUGGACCAGAGAUGGGGUCCGAGAUGGACCGAGACGGAGUCCGAGAUGGAGUCCGAGAUGGAGUCCGAGAUGGACCAAGAUGGAGUCCGAGAUGGAAUCCGAGAUGGAGUCCGAGAUGGAGUCCGAGAUGGAGUCCGAGAAGGACCCGAGAUGGAGUCCGAGGUUGAGACCGAGACCGGGACCGAGACCGGGACCGAGACCGAGACCGAGGCCAAGGCUGAGACCGAGCCCGAGCCCGAGUCCGAGUCCGAGUCCGAGUCCGAGUCCGAGUCCGAGUCCCAGUCCCAGUCCGAGUCCCAGUCCGAGUCCGAGUCUGAGUUCGAGUCUGAGAGGGUGAAAGCCCAAAGCGUUUGUCUCCCAGACCCUGGGGGGUUUGGUGAGCUCCAAAAGUAUAGUAGGGGGAGGACUGCAGUGGAGCCAGUUUGGCCAGGAAAGGCCAGUUUGGCCCAGGAAGGCCGGACCCAGUGUUGGGUGUUGAGCUGACCACUGGGAAGUCCAAGACUAGAGUGAACAUGGACCGACAAGCGGGGUAGCUUGGUGAAGUGUUCAAGAGCCGGCUCUAGUUCCCCCGGGAGAUCGACUGGCCGAUGCUCCCAGUCCAAGUGUGGGUGGCACUACCUACUUGGAUACCAAGCGUGGCUCAAUGGAACCUCGCUCUAAGACCAUGGCUAGAGCACCUAAAGGCGAUAGGUGGGGAGAGUACCCAGGUGGCUCGCGUAAGGCCACGGUGUUCCGAAAUGUUGUCCCAAAGGCCCAGACUGUGGAAAGGAAGAGGAGCAGUCCUCUGGGGUAGUGACCAAGGACACAGUCAUGUGGUGAAGAAGUCCCAGAGGACCGUGGGACUUAGUGGUCGGGCCUAUGGGCCUCGAUCCAGUGGCAGUGUUGGCAAACACGGCCAGGGGCAGAAAGGGACUUGAUAGGAACUGACAAAGGGACUUUGGGGAAGGCGAUUCCCCAGGUCUGUGGGCAUCCUAAGGAUGCUAAGGAGUGGAUCUAAGAUGACCACUCGUGGACACAUGGCCUAGUCUUGGAGAGACGAGGUGGUGAUGCAAGUGGUGUUGGACCACUAGUGCAGCAAAGGUGAAUGGGCAUGGCCUUAGCGUAACGGGCCGAGAUGUCAGUGGUACCUUUGGGUGUCGGUCUUGGGACCGGACACGUGGAGCACUUGGACCAGGUGCAAGUGUUGAGUGGCAUGGAUGCCAUUCUUGGGGCUAGCAAGUCCCAAGUCCUGAAUUGGAUUGAUGGAGGUUGUGAAUGAGACUCCUCCAAGUGGUCGGAGGUGUGGUUAAGUGACUAAAGUAGAAUGGAAAAUUUAGUCGCUUACAACUUGGUAUCGGAGCUGUUCCUUAGUCCGACUUUUAUUGGUGCUCAAGUAUAUCACCAUUGAUAUUGGCAUCGGAAGGUCCUAGGAGUGGGCCUAUCCUUGAGGAGUAGCACGUCGAGAGGACAUGGCUCUCCACUCAAGUUCAUGCAUGAACAUGGGCACGAUGUGGUGGAUAGAAAAGGGCCAAUAAUAGAACGACUUUGGGAUUUUGGGAACAGUAUAAGGUUUCCUCAGAGAGCUGAGGAUGUGAUCCAGAUGAGCGUUUGAUGCAGCAAACGGGCUAACUUAGUUGUGGUAAACAACUAUGAUUGGGAUCACGGGAAAGAUGUAGACUCCAAAAUAAUAAAGGAGUCACAAGAUUACCCUCAUAUAGUUGAGGCCGGUGCUCAUAACUUGGAGACCGGAAUUGAUGACCAUGGGAGGUCAAGUAUAGGAGAGGACACAAGUCCUCGAAAUGGUAGCUGAGGUUACCCUUGAUAAAUGCUGGAACAACCCAAGGAGUUGGGGAUGUACUUAGAGGAUGAGUUGGUAUUCUCAUCACAUGGACAAGUGGUCCUAAGAGGCAAAAGGUUGCCCCAAGAGAACAAAUCAAGUGUCGAAGUAACACUUGCAAAGAUGGUCCUUGUGAGUAGGACCUGAAUACAAGAAGUUGUAUUCCAGUGAGCUAGCACCUCAAAAGUAGGACCUCAUGGGUCGUCGGAUGACAAAGUCCAAAAAGCUGGAUGACUCCAAUAGAGUCAAGGAAUAAUCCUAAAGGACUGAUGGAAGCAUUUGGACUGAGGUGUGUGGUACCCCAUGAAAGAUGGGGGGGAUCAUGGGAUCCAAGGAUGAGAACAGAGGGUAUCUCAUCGAUGGCAAAAUGUGCCAUGCUAAAGUCGUGGGAAGGGUGUUCCCAAAAAAGAAAACAACUUUGAAACAAAGUUGUGUAUGACCUCUAUGGUGCAGUGCUAACGAAUGGUUGGCAUGAGAAAGAAUGGUAUUGGUCUUGGCAAAGACUUAGGCACAAAGAAGAAGUGUCAUAGAGGUAGGCUCGUGGAGCCAAUGGUGUGGAGACACCAAAUGUGCCAAGGUGUAAUACCUUGAGGCUAUGUUGGUGGGUUCAUGAGAACCCCUUGCCAAAGGAAUCCCAAUGGAAAUGGGAAUGGCAUAGCCUAAGCUGCAGAGCAUGUAGUUGGAGUGUCGUGACCCAGAUAAUGAUGGAGGUGUAGAAGCACCAGCAAUGAGUUGUAGGACUUGACAACUAUGAGGCAACUAAGCAAGAGGUGCAAAAUAAUUGGUUAAAUGGGUAGAAGGUAGCUACCCAAGCCUUCUUAAUGGCAUAAGGAAAUUGGAUAUACCCUUAUGGGGGAUAAGUUGCUUAUGUUGCGAUAUAGUAAGUCAAUAUCAUGAAAGGAAAUACUCAUUGUCAAGGAAGCCGUCAUUGGGACACCUAAACACUCUAGAACACCAGGAGGUGGUGUUUGAUGUCGUAAGGGCAAUAGAUAAGGCCCAAGGGACUAAGUCCCUAGCGAAUGAUGGAUAGAAUGUGCUAUCAAAAUGUCCAAGGUGGCGGAGACAGGAGAAGACUGUCUACUCGAAUUGGACAAAGCCAGAAAUGGAAUUUUGGCAAGGCUAGCGAUGGGCAUGUAAAGGUCCAUAAGCAACAACGUAAUCUCGGUGUGUGGGAUUAUAGGGUGAGCAUACCUGGAUUGAGAAACCACUCCCUAGGCUAUCGGGUAGGUUCAUCCCUAAGAAUACUUGCUAAGGCAUGAUAGAAAGUGCAAAGCUAUCUUCCUGGUCUGGAGGAGAAUGACCGAAGGAAAGGUGUGAAGCCAAAAGCAAGAAAUAUGGGGGUAGAACCAAACCAUAGGAAUCGAAGGGUAUAACCAAGGUUGGUUAUGCCAGCUGGGAGUGGAGAAUCAAGUGGGGGCUCAAGGGUGUUGCCGCUAGCAACCGUGAUGCCAUGGAGAGUCUAAAAUAUGGAAUUGUUCAUGUUAGACUAUAUGGUAAUUGGAAAGCUUGCAAAAAGGGAGGCCUUAGCAAGCUAAGGGACAGAGUUCCUUCAAGGUUCCCAAAGAUGAUUCUAGGUAGCUUAGUACUUAGAAAGGCCAAGUGUAAAUGGUUCAAAGCAUGCGCGAAAUCAGAGUGGCGCAGCAGAAGCGUGGUCUUGAAGCUUGCCAUGAGGCAAGGCUAUCAAGGUUAGGGAAGUAGUUCCCGAGUGUUCAAAGAGAGGGCUUUGAACGAAAGUCGAUUAUCAAGGGCUUUCACGCUUGUGCAGGAACCAUGUUAUAGUGGUCAGAGGACUUGCCAAAGCGAGAUUGGCAAGUCAGGGGAACAAAUACCCUAGUUGAAGGUGAUAACUUCAAAAAGGGUGGGCCAUGGGGCCAAGCAUGGAGGAGUCCAUGCAUGAUCACAGACUUGUCAAGUGAAAGGACUUGGCAAUGUGGAGGAACUAGGUUCCUAAGCUGUGAUCUAUAGCGCGCUUUGAGUAUAAAGUGGUGCACCGGCGUGGGGAGUCACGCCAGGCAUCCUAGGUGAUGCCAUCCAUAGAUGCAUAUACGGAGGUUGGGUUCGAGUCCUGACCCUCUAGUGCUUGGGUUCGAGUCCCAACUCACUAGGGCGUGGUGAUGGUUUGGAAUAUGAGGACACUCAUUUUUUGGUGGUCAUGGACUCUCAGUGUGGAGACUGGUUUGGGCACACCGCCAAGCGAGGGAUGCCUCGGAGUCGUGAUGCACGGUUAGAUUGCUUAGAGUGAAAACUCGGCAUAUCUAACUUGAACACUUUGGUGCAAAGGGCACCAAGGACGUGGUGAAUGAGAUGGGGACACCCAGUCUCAGUUGCUAUGGAUCCUUGGCCGGAAGGGCUGGCUUGGGCGCACCACCAAGUGUGGGGGAUGCCCCCGGGGUCAUAGUCAACAACUCAGAAGGGUCUGGAAGACCUAGUCCCUAUUGAUAGACCUAUUAAAGGGUCAAAAUAAGAUCACUAGGUGAUCUUGUGGCUAAACAAGGACAAAGUCUUUGUUUGGGUUAAGGAAUAUGAUUCCUAGUUCAAAGUGUUGAUUUGAACUAUUGAUAAAGGUGUGGCUUGGUUGAGGUGACCAAGUGGGAAGAACACCUAAGGGAAAUGAGCUAUGUCAAUGCUAUGGCAUAGUAAGUCCAAGGAAAGUAAUCUCUAUAAAAGAUCCAAGGGAGGGUCUCAAAAAGUUGGGCCGUGGAUAGAGCCCACGACAGAAAACGUUAAAGAGACGUACUAGGGGUGAACACCUUCUAGACUUGGCAAAGCAAAGUGUUUGCUAUGGAACCGAAAGGAAACCUCAAAAAUGGAGGUAGCAAUCCUAUGUUGCUUGGUGCAACAAUCCAAGGAUAGGAGCAAAAGACGAGUGCCCAAGAUAGGGCCGUGGAAUCCAUUGGAAAGAAUCCAAGUGGCAAAGUUAGCCAAGGAACACUAAUGUGGUUGAUGCUAACAGAUUGCGGAAAAAGAAGUGGACUUCCAAGGAUGGAUUCCCAAGUGCUCCAAUUUGGCAAAGGAAAGGCUCCAAGGGAGGGAGCAACUAAGUAGCCAAAAGAUAGGGCCGUGGACAGCCCUAGCACAAAUAAUGAUAAAUGGAAUGUAAUGCCAAUGGUGGCACAAAAAUAGAAAAGAGGGUGAGGGUGCCCUUGAGUAGAGAACUUCCUAGGAGGGGAAGUGGAGUUGCACAAAAUGUGCAAGGCAAGGUGUCAGAGACACCUAGGAAAUUGACUCCAAAAAGUCAAGAGUAAACAUUCCAAAGUGCAAAGGUAGAUCAAUGGAAUCUGUGACUACUCAAGAAUGAGUAGUGGAAUUGAGUUAGAGAGGGUGUCUCUAAUGGGUUUGGCGAGAACUGAACCAAUAAAAAGGAGCAAACCACCCUAGGUGGUCAAGUGAGUCUCUAAGUUGGAGAGACUAUCCUCCUUAGAGGAUGGGCAAGGCAUGGUGAGCCUUUGGUGUCAAACCAUUGACGAAUAUGGAGAAGGCAUGGUGAGCCUUCAAUGUCAAACCAUUGACAAAUAUUGGCUAGGUGCCAAGGAUGGGAAUGGUAACACAUGCGGGUGUUACUUUAUAAAAUGGUUUACCGUUCGAUGAGGACAUCGAACUUCGUCUAUGGGUGGUGGAGUUGUGAGACACAAAAUCCCUAGGCCCCAAAGUGGAGCUGGAAAGGGUGCCACAUGGUAGUGGCCGAAGUGAAAGCCAAACGAGCGUAACACGUUUGGACUAAAAGCUCCGACUUGAAAGGUCGAGAGUGGGAGUGGAACUCCCAACAAAGUGCUCAAGGAGCGAGCACAAAGCGAGCAAUAAGCAAGGCUCCAAAAAGGGACCCAAAAAGGACCAACACAUGACACAUGGAAGUGUCCGAGAUGGAGUCCGAGACGGACCCUAGUUGGAGUCUGAGAUGGACCCGAAGUGGAGUCCGAUAUGGAGUCCGAAGUGGAGUCCGAGAUGGAGUCCGAUAUGGAGCCCGAGAUGGACCCGAAGUGGAGUCCGAGGUGGACAAAGACGGAGUCCGAGAUGGACCUGAGAUGGAGUCCGAGAUGGAGUCCGAGGUGGACCGAGAAGGAGUCCGAGAUGGACCCGAGAUGGAGUCCGAGAUGGACCCGAGAUGGAGUCCGAGAUGGACCCGAGAUGGAGUCCGAGGUGGAGUCCGAGGUGGACCGAGACGGAGUCCAAGAUGGACCAGAGAUGGGGUCCGAGAUGGACCGAGACGGAGUCCGAGAUGGAGUCCGAGAUGGAGUCCGAGAUGGACCAAGAUGGAGUCCGAGAUGGACCGAGAUGGAGUCCGAGAUGGAGUCCGAGAUGGAGUCCGAGAAGGACCCGAGAUGGAGUCCGAGGUCGAGACCGAGACCGGGACCGAGACCGGGAUCGAGACCAAGACCAAGGCCAAGGCUGAGACCGAGCCCGAGCCCGAGUCCGAGUCCAAGUCCGAGUCCGAGUCCAAGUCCGAGUCCGAGUCCGAGUCCGAGUUCAAGUCUGAGAGGGUGAAAGCCCAAAGCGUUCGUCUCCCAGACCCUGGGGGGUUUGGUGAGCUCCAAAAGUAUAGUAGGGGGAGGACUGCAGUGGAGCCAGUUUGGCCAGGAAAGGCUAGUUUGGCCCAGGAAGGCCAGACCCAAUGUUGGGUGUUGAGCUGACCACUGGGAAGUCCAAGACUAGAGUGAACAUGGACCGACAAGCGGGGUAGCUUGGUGAAGUGUUCAAGAGCCGGCUCUAGUUCCCCCGGGAGAUCAACUGGCCGAUGCUCCCAGUCCAAGUGUGGGUGGCACUACCUACUUGGAUACCAAGCGUGGCUCAAUGGAACCUCGCUCUAAGCCCAUGGCUAGAGCACCUAAAGGCGAUAGGUGGGGAGAGUACCCAGGUGGCUCGCGUAAGGCCACGGUGUUCCGAAAUGUUGUCCCAAAGGCCCAGACUGUGGAAAGGAAGAGGAGCAGUCCUCUGGGGUAGUGACCAAGGACACAGUCAUGUGGUGAGGAAGUCCCAGAGGACCAUGAGACUUAGUGGUCGGGCCUGUGAGCCUCGAUCCAGUGGCAGUGUUGGCAAACACGGCCAGGGGCAGAAAGGGACUUGAUAGGAACUGACAAAGGGACUUGAUAGGAACUGACAAAGGGACUUUGGGGAAGGCGAUUCCCCAAGUCUGUGGGCAUCCUAAGGAUGCUAAGGAGUGGAUCUAUGAUGACCACUCGUGGACACAUGGCCCAGUCUUGGAGAGACGAGGUGGUGAUGCAAGUGGUGUUGGACCACUAGUGUAGCAAAGGUGAAUGGGCAUGGCCUUAGCGUAACGGGCCGAGAUGUCAGUGGUACCUUUGGGUGUCGGUCUUGGGACCGGACACGUGGAGCACUUAGACCAGGUGCAAGUGUUGAGUGGCAUGGAUGCCAUUCUUGGGGCUAGCAAGUCCCAAGUCCUGAAUUGGAUUGAUGGAGGUUGUGAAUGAGACUCCUCCAAGUGGUCGGAGGUGUGGUUAAGUGACUAAAGUAGAAUGGAAAAUUUAGUCGCUUACAAGGCCGAGCAAUAGAAAAUAAACUCAAAUUUAUAUCAACUAACAUGGAAAAAAUAAUAUGAGACAUCUUGUUAUAAAAACAAGCUUAAACACUAAAAGAACUAAUGCCGCCUUGAUAAUACUUAUGAAAGAAAGAUUGGAAAGGUCACUUACUUAUUUGUGUAAGGAUGCUCUGCCACUCAUGUGAAUCCUCAUCUCUUGGAAAUAUUUCAAUGUCUAAACCUUCCACUACAACAGCACAAAUAGGCUGUUAUUGACGUUAAGGUCUCCACCCAGAAAAUAAAAAUUGCCAAUCUAGAAAAUAUCGACAACUCCAAUAAGUGUGAUCAAUUUCAUCACACUUCCAGUGGCGGACAUCACAGCAAUAACUAUGUUGUCGCCCUUGUCCUUGAACUCGGGCACUAGCAAUAUCAAUUUUUAUUAGAAUAAGACCAUCUCCCACAAAAAGUGGAGCUGAAGGAUGUGCAAUGAAAAGUGGAAGAGAUGACAUCUCAUGACGUUAUACUAAGCAAAGAGCAUCGUCAAGAGUUGGUAAAGCAAGUGCAUGCAUAAAUCUUACAAGAUAUUGACAAAGUGUUAGCCACAACAUUCUUAAUUUGAUUUGCUCUAACAUAUUUGGCUCUGCAUGAAGCAAGAGGCUUUAGAAACGAAUGCUAAAUUGCACCAUUGACUUAAAUGGCCUUGAUAAAGAUAAUGCAAUUCUUGGAAGGUAUUAUCACAAUUGUUUAUAUAUCUAAAUGCACAUUUGAAGACGUUUAGGAGAAUGCUUCAAUUUGCAUAGAUAGUUGCGCUGAAACCAUUAUACCACUGUAGCACCGUCUUUUGGGAAACUCAUGCAAAUGUCAAGCAUCAUCCUAGAAAUGAUAUGUGGUAAUUAUUAUAAAGUGAUCAAACUAAUAGUACAUAUCAUCUUCAUGAUUCUUAUGGAAAAACUUUGGUCAGAUGCAAAGAUUGGCACUAAGAGUAGGAGGAGAUAUACCACGUGCUAUGAAUGCUACCAUCAAUUAAAUUUGAUUGUUCAAUUCCAAAUAUAUAGCAUGGAACAAUUGCACCAACUACUACUCAAAAGUCAAAAAAGAGGAGGCUACUACUUUGCCAUGAGAAUGAAUGAAAAGGAAAGAGCAAAAAAUAAGAAAUUGAAAAAGUUAUAAAAUAAGGGAAAUUUAGAUGAUGCAAAAGUUAGAUCUAAACUAAAAUCCCAAAGCUGAAUUAUUUUUUGUGAUAUGUUUUAUUUGAUGUAUCUCAGUGAUUGCUUCUUCAUCAAUAUUUAGUAUAAUAUCAUAUUUAAAUUUUUAUUUAUACUUUAAUUUUCUUUUGAAAAAAUUGAAUUCAAUAUCAAUUAAUUUAUGAAUUUAAGAUAUAAUUCUUUAAAAAUCAGAAAAUAAAACACAAUAAGAAAAAUAUAUAUAGUUAAUUAAGUCUUACCUUUGACUUCUAUAAUAGCAAAUUUUAUACCAUUUGUUUUUUGUAUUAUAAGUUAUUUCUUCCAAAAUAGGUAGUUAAACUAGAAUUUAAUACAUGUAUAUUUAAGUUUUAUAUGAAUGAAAUUUAUGCAUAGAUUAGAUAUAAGGCAAAUGGGAAAACAACAAUAUCAAUAGUGAUAACUAUGGGAUUGAAAAAUUAUUUAUUCUUACCACAAAGUGAUAGAGAAUAAAAUUAAUAAAAUGUGAUAUGGUAAAAGCUUCAUGUUUUUUAUCUAUUUUUUAAAAAAAUUAAAAAACUUAAGUUUUAAUAGAAAAUGAUAAAGUUAUAUGAAUAUAAAAUAAUAAUUAUCAAUAACUUUAAAGGUAUCAGGGUAAUUAAAAAUAUUUUAUCAUUUUCUCUAAUAAAUUCCUAGGCAGAUGAGAUGUUGAUGGAUAUUGAAAACAAAUAGAGAAUAAAUUAUAUAACAUAUGUACUAUGCUAUAAGAAAGGAUAAUCAUUUUGUUCCUUAACUACUCAAAACUAUAUGUAAAAGAGUAUAACAAAUCAUUAGUUAAACAUAAAAAUACAACUAAAGGAUAUUUCUCCUCAAUGUGUUUUCAUUCAGAAGGGAUUAUCUUUAGAGAAUUAUAAAUCUCUAUUUUUAAAUUUAACAUGUUUAUAAAGAAAUGCAGUCAUAACAGAAUAUAAGGUUUAUGAGAAUAAGUAUAAAUGGUGUGAAAUGCUUAAAAAAUGUGCUAUAAAAAGAUUGUCAAGGUUUAGGGUGUAUGAUAUCACUCACAAAUACAUAAUUACUCUAUACAAACAAAAUAAAAUAUAAGCUUGAAACUCAAGUGGUUAAUUGAUUGUAGCACACUCUACAUUAGCUAUUUGUACUGCAAGUAGAUGGUGGAUAUUUUUGUUUGUAAAUGCUCUACAAAAUAAAGGGUAUACAUAUAGUAUACUUUGUUCAUAUGUAUAUUAUGUUUUAAGUAGUCAUUAAUAAAUGAAAAUUAAACCUUGCUAUUUACUCAGAUACUAUAUAUAACACACUGUAUCUUUCUCCCUUUAAACCAAUUGAAAAGAGGCAAUUGCUUAAUAAAAAAGCCAAUUGUGCUAUUGAAUGACACCAAGGCUUGGGCUGCUUUUACAUUAGCAUGGGUGAUAAAACUUGCAGCAAGAGCAACAAUACAGACUAUAUUGCAAGUUGGUUUAGGAGGAGCUUAGAGCUCACAAGAAGUUAUAAUCUUUUUAACAAGGCAAAUGAGAUCCUUAGGGUUAUAGUUAUCUCAACUCAAAAUCCAACUAGCACAUUUGUAUGGAUAGUGACAUGAUUGACAAUUUAAAUUGCCUUCCUUCGGAUACUCAGCCAUUGGAUGCUCCUCAAGGAACAUCUUCUGAGUCACCUCAAUAAUAAUAGAAAAUCCCUGCAAUUACAUCAACCAUUUUGAGUAAAAUGGAAGUUGAUAUUCUUUCUAAGUUGCCAAAGAAUGAGUGGAUGAUACCAUUUGUGAGUUGCUCGAUACAAAGGAUAAGACAGGCUAGAUAAGAUCCUUCCUCUCAAUGUUUGUUAGAUUUUUUUUAUAAGAGUUUAAAUCUACUCAAAGCAAAAACAACAUGCUUUAACUGAAAGUUUAAUCCUUGCUAAUGUGUCAAAAAAUCUGAUGUAAAAUCAAAAUUUAUAUAGUGCAAAAAAUCACAUAUAUAGUGCUAACUUUUAUUUUGCCAUGCAUAUGUGGCGGGCACUAAUGGAUGCCCAUGCAUAAAAAAAGGUUAUAUUCAAAAUAUUAUUUUAUGAGUAACAACAAUUUAAGCACACAAAUGUUUCUUUUUAUAUAUUUUACAAGUUUGCACAAUUUUUUACCAGAACUCCCACCUAUCCCUUUUGGGAGUUGUACCUCCUCAUAACAAAAAUAUAGACUUUUUAUAAAUAGAAAAGGGCCAAAAUAUCAAUAAAAUGUAAAAUAAACCAUUUAAUUGCUUUUUCAUCUAGCUUAUGCAUCUAUUUACUCAAGAGAAUUAAGAUUGCCAACUUCUUACUAUUGUGACCAAAUAGAAAGUUAUAGACAAAGCUAUUGUUAUUUUAGAGGGUGAGAAUGACAUUGAUAAAAAAAAUUUAUAAAUUCUAACUCAAAUAAAUUAGCUUUAAUCUAUUCCUUCAUAAAUUGUUUUUGUCACACCUUAGUGAGUUUAAAUAGUUAAAAUUCAAACUUAAAAUAAUUAUUUAAACCAUUAUAUCCAUAUAGAGAUUAUACACACACACACACACACACAUAUAUAUAUAUAUAUAUAUAUAUAUAUAUAUAUAUAUAUAUAUAUAUAUAUAUAUAUAUAUAGACAAGGAGGAAUUUAUUUUAUUUAUCAGAAAAUCUAAAUAUUUAUAUAUAUAUAAUGAGUAAUGUUCAAAACCUCCUCAAGAACCCUAAAUUUUCACUGUGUCAGGGUUUUAGGGUUCUUUGGAUCGGGAAGCUAAUUCCAUUAUACUAAAACUCAGAAAUCAAAGUAUAAAUUAAACAAGUACUUCUAACCAUUAUUUUGAUAAAUCAUUCUAAAUAGUUAGUUCUUUAUUCUUUGCAGGCCAAUUUUUUCUUAGUUCUUUGCAAGCCAAUCUGGCAUUCCUGAGAAUUCAUAUGUGGCUACUUCUCAGAGUGACUGGCUGAUUGAUGGGUGGUGGAAACUCCAACUUUCGAUACGGAACAUCCACUUUAAUCACUUUCUGCUGCUCUCCUCCCUGCUGCAAGCUCCACUUCGACUUCGACUUCGAGGACGAGGAGAAUCGCUCGUCAAAACUAAUCACUGCGGUGUCCUUGGGACACGAAAGUAUCGCGCGCUUGAUCACCAUCUUCCUGCUGCUCCUGGAAGUAUGGAAGCGGUCGCGCUGGAUCUGGCACAGCGUGAGCACGAUAUCACCCAUGCACGGCCGCUUGCUUUCCCGCCUCACGCACCGCGCCGCCAGCACCGCCAUCCGCUUGAUCCCUGCUGCCUCUCCCUCCGGGAUCCUCACGCGCGGGUCGCAGAUAGCCAGAGCCCUCCCCUGCUUGAUCAGCGGCAACGCCCAGUCCACCAUGCGAACUGGAGACAUCCUGUCGUCGAUAACUUGGCGGCCGGAGAUGAGCUCCAGGAGGAGCACGCCAAAACUGAAGACGUCGAUCUUGGGCCCGACCUUCUCGGGCUUGUCGUAGCGCGGGUCCACGUAGCCGAGCGUUCCCGCCGGAGUACACAUGAUGUCCUUGGUGUCGCCUCGCAGCGCCAGGCCAAAGUCCCCCAGCCGAGCGUUCCAAUUCGCGUCGAUCAAAACGUUGGAGCUCUUCACGUCCCUGUGGAUGAUCUGCGGCGUAGAGCUGUGGAGCGCGUGGAGCGCCCUUGCGGUCUGGACUGCGAUGCGGACCCGGCGCGACCAGCUGAGGCUCGAGGACGAGAGCUUGGAGUGGAGCACGUCGUGCAAGCUGCCGUUGGCCAUGAACUCCACAACCAGGAGGACUUCGUCGUUGCGCUCGCAGAAGCCCAGCAAGUUGACGACGUGAGGGCACUCGAUCUGGGAGAGGAUAAAGCGCUCCUUGCUGGUGGAAGGAUUCGCGGUGGUGCAAGUGGCCCGCUUCACCGCUGCAAGCUGGCCGUUCUUGAGGACUGCCUUGUAAACCGAGCCAUAGCUUCCCCGUCCCAGCAAGUUCUCCUCGGCAAAGUUGCCAGUGGCCAGCUCCAAGUCUCUAAACUUGUAGAUUGUGAGCAGCCUAACCCGGUCCUGACAGCGCCUCGGACCAAGACACCAGAGCUUGGAGAGAGCUCCCAUAGCUUAGAGAUAAAAUGGAAACUUUAAGUAAGACCUGAAGGAUCGAAGUAGCGGAAGCUCGAGAAUUUCGUUGAUGGAGUCGAUGGCAUGGCUGUUUGAUGGCCGCCCUUGAGAAGCAAAGGCUAAACUGAGGGGCAGAAUUAGAUAGACGCGGCGAACAAAGCCUAGGAAUAAUCGCCAAGGAUACAAACAAUGACCCGGCCCUCGACGAGGAAACCGACCGCGCGAGAGAGGAGAUAACGUAAAAAAAAAAAAAGUAUCAAACGAACCGUUCGGAGGCUCCUCUUAGUCGACGGGCCAAAUGUAAGUCCUUGGGCACUGGUAUAGAAACUGUCAGCCAGUUCCAAAACAAAGAACUCUUUUCUCUCUUUCAAAUGCUUACUUAUGGUGACUCUCUUGCCGUGAAUGGCACAUAAGUUGGUGUCUUCGAAGAGAUGAACAAGGUAGUCCUCGGCAGCCUGUGCAAAACAAAGCAAAGAUUUCAAGCGAGAAACCACGAAAAGAAAGAACAAAGAAGAAAAGGAGCGCUCUUUCGACCUCUUGGAGAGCUAUCAAUCCUUCGGCAGUCCAUCUGGAUACCUCCGACGAGAAAACGUUCGUGAUCUCUCUCACCUAUCGCAAAAGCUUUGUCAGAGACUAGAGAGGCAAAAAAGAGAGGAAAAAAAAAAAAGAACUUGGAGAACUCACCACUCUUGCGAAUGGCAAUGGCCUGAGAAGUAGCUCAUAACUCUUUUGAAAGCGUCGGAUCUCCCGCAACGCCACAGUCCCGGGCUUAAACCUGCGCUUGCCGUGUGGCUUGUUCUGCUGGGCGCCGGCUCUGCUCGUCCCAGCGCCAUCGCCGCCCGCUGCGCACUCCAUGGAUCAAACCGCACCCCAAGAAUCUCAAAGAAAAGCCGCCUACCUGGUGGUCGCCCUCGCUUCCUCGGCGUCGAUUUCCUCCUCUUGGCCAUGGCAAAAACCCUCCUCUCGCUCCUGCGAUCCCCUACCGCCGACUGAUCACCGGCAGGGAGCCGAGAUCACACUGCUCCUCCUCCCUUCUCUUGAUCGAGCCCUGGAGCUAGGUCCAUUUCCCGCCCAGCUCCAAGGGAUCCAAUGAGAGAAUCUUUUCUCCACGACACCAGGAUAUUCCGCCUAAAAUAGCAACCCCUGCUUUAAUGCCCCUUUCUUUAAAGGGGCACAGUCGUAAAAACUCGAUUUUUUUACAUGCGAGCGAGAGAUUUACUUGCUGGGAGGAAUUCGCGGCUCCCUGGUCAUCGAAUCCACAACAAAGUCUAUCAGGCAUGGCUCGUACCUUGAGAGAAAAAAGAGAAGAGAAAAGAUUGGCUCACAGUUUUUCCAUCUUCUCGACGAUGAGGCCCAGCUUUUCUCUAUCGCCCGCCUUCUUGAACACAUCGUAUAACACCUGCAUCGUGUCCACUGACCACUUCCAUCCCGCCAUCUCCAUAUCUUCGGAAACCUCCAUCGCCAUCUUGCCGUCGCCGUGCUUUGCGAAACCCCGGACGAGCAGCUCGUAAGUCGAAGCAUACAUCCGCCACCUUGAAACCGCCUUCAUGGAUCUGUAAAGGCCGCCCAGCUUCUCGGCUGCCGAGUUCUCGAAGAACGCCGAAACCACCUCGUCCAGCACCUCCGGGUCCAUGAAAGCUCUGCCUUGCUUCACAACUCUCUUCAUCUCGUGCUCCACCUGGUCGAAUUCACCGGCGGUUAGAAACGCGUCCAGGAUCACUCCGUUGAGACGAGUCGUGUAGACGGUUCUCGGAGCCUGCUCCAGGAUGGCUGUUAUGUCUUUGAUCUUGGAGAACAUCUUGUUCUUGGUGUAAACCCGGAUCAUACGCUGAGCAGCGAUAGCACCGAUUGGAAGCCCGCUCUUUUGCCGAUCCGCAAAAGCCUGCUCCAUCCUCUCCACCAUGUUGAGCUUUUGAUAUCCGUGUAGCAAGAUCCCGAAGGUGAAGACGUCCGGCUUGCAAGAGAGUUGCAUCUCCCUGUAUCUCUCGUCAACCUUCGCAAGGCUUCCCUUCUUCAAGUAGGAGAAGAGCAGCGUGUUGUAAGUGACUACGUUGGGAGUGAGCCCGGCUUUCCUCAGUUCUUCCAGCCAUUUUUCCAUCUGGACGAUGUCCGAGCUUCUGCCGUAUGCCGCUAGAAUCGUGUUGUAAGUGGAGACGUUGGGUGGGCACUCGGCCCACUUCAUGUUCUCGAGCAUCUUUUCGGCCGCUUCAAUCUCUCCACUCCGGCAGAAGACGCUUACCAGAGCAUUGUACGUCGGCGUGGACAUCUUGAUUCCUUUGAUCUUCAUCUCGGAGACCCAAGCGUGAGCGAGCUGCGGCAUUCCAAUGCUUCCGGCGUACGCGAUCAUGUUUGAGUAUAUCUGAGGCUUGCUAGCAUCAGGGAACUCUUGCCUGAUCCAGUCGAAAACCUGACAAGGGAAUGCAGGAGUUCGAAAGAAAUCCCAGGAGCAAAAGUUCUAAGAACACAAAGGACGAAGAAAAGAAAAACUAUCAAGGAAUGCGUACCGGAACGCGAGCAAGAACACCUCACGAACAAAGGAAAACUAUAACAAAAAGAACGUCUUCCUAGAAGAAAUCGAAACUCCACUCACCUCGAUGCACAGGAAUUUGCUCCUGGCCUUCUUCUGCAGAGUCUGGAUCAGCGGCUUCCAGAAAUUGCAGUUGCGCAUCAGACCUAGCUUGGAUCGCAGCACAUCCUGCCGGCAUUGCUGGCUUGGUGCCGCCUCCAAUCGCCUCAGCAUCAGCCUGGCUGAAAUCGCCAGCCUUCCAUCUUUAAUCCUAGGCGUCGGCGAUGAUCCGACAGUAGCCACGCUGCUGCAUUGGCGACGCAGCUGAAACGAUUUCAAAAAUUUCAGCAUCCACAAGAACCCUAAUAGUACGAACGAGAUCUACAAAUGUACGGUAGACAAAAACCCCUGCUUCAGGGUUUAUGCGUUCUUAUUGAUGCCAUAGAAAUACACAGCGAGAUGGAAUUCCUUUCUUCUUCUUUCCGAGCUCCGGUCAAAAUGUGGGCUCUAAAUCGAACGAAAAUCCGGCUCCAGCAGCUCU